This 497-nucleotide ribosomal RNA is filed under the name uncultured bacterium. RNAcentral's name for it is "partial 16S ribosomal RNA". It matches the Rfam family "Bacterial small subunit ribosomal RNA", at positions 28 to 507 of the family's 1533-position model. The record is from RNAcentral.
GAUGAACGCUGGCGGCGUGCCUAAUACAUGCAAGUCGAGCGAACAGACGAGGAGCUUGCUCCUUUGACGUUAGCGGCGGACGGGUGAGUAACACGUGGGUAACCUACCUAUAAGACUGGGAUAACUUCGGGAAACCGGAGCUAAUACCGGAUAAUAUUUCGAACCGCAUGGUUCGAUAGUUAAAGAUGGCUUUGCUAUCACUUAUAGAUGGACCUGCGCCGUAUUAGCUAGUUGGUAAGGUAACGGCUUACCAAGGCAACGAUACGUAGCCGACCUGAGAGGGUGAUCGGCCACACUGGAACUGAGACACGGUCCAGACUCCUACGGGAGGCAGCAGUAGGGAAUCUUCCGCAAUGGGCGAAAGCAUGACGGAGCAACGCCGCGUGAGUGAUGAAGGUCCUCGGAUCGUAAAACUCUGUUAUUAGGGAAGAACAAACGUGUAAGUAACUGUGCACGUCUUGACGGUACCUAAUCAGAAAGCCACGGCUAACUACGUG